Molecule: long non-coding RNA, 1453 nt
Filed under: Homo sapiens (human)
Lineage: Eukaryota; Metazoa; Chordata; Mammalia; Primates; Hominidae
Description: HSALNT0385933
Source: RNAcentral
ACUCUUAACCAUUCUAUAGAAUCAGCACCCAUCUUUGAGUCAGAGUUUGAGAUGCAAAUCCUUUACUGUAUAGCCUUGAUCAAAUGACUUCACCUCAUUGAAUUAAUCUUCUUCUGCAUAAAAUGGGGUCACCAUCUGCUUAUCUAAAUUGUUACAAAUGGGACAGUAUAUGUGCCAUUCCAGAUACCUAAUCACAGCUCAAUCGAUGCUGGUGUCUUUUUCCUUUUUCCUUCUGCAGAAAACAUGCUUUACAUAGGAUCUCUGAACUUAAAGAAUGGGAAGAAGAAAAAUCAUGUUUCCAGCUUGGGCUGCUGUUUCAUCUGUUGGACUUGCUUGUGAGCUAAGCCAAAUUUCAUUAAAAAUUAUUGGUCUCAUAACUUUUUUUGUUUUUCCCUUUAAAGAGUCCCAUAUGGAACCAAUAUUGUGAUAGGAUUGUAGCUGCAUAAAGUCAUUGGGCAUUUUGACCCACUCUCUGCUUCUUGGUAGAUUCUAAGUACAGAUCUAAUUAUUUUUUCCUUCAAGUAUUAAGCGAAUAUCUCUGCAAACAAAUCCAAAUUUAGAAAGCUAGAUUGAAGAAAUGGAGAAGCAAAUCUAGUCAACUCAUAGAAAUCUUUCUUCUCCUCUCUUGCUCUGUCUCCAAGAGAACCUCUACACCUUCUUUUAAGGUGCCAGCCAUCUUAAGCUCUUGUCUGAUUAAGAAAUUCUCUGGUAGAACCAGAGCAUCUGCAAAAGCAUAAAAUAUGAUCACAGCCUUUGCACAAGUAUUUUAACAACCCAACCUUAUGAUAGGUUAUAUUUCAUUGACUUGGAAGAAACACUGCAUUAUCUGGGAAAACAGCACAGAUGUUGCCUAAUAAACGUUUUGGUUUAUGCAUUGUAUUAACCUCAUGAAACAUUUAUGCAAAUCUCACAUUAACAAAAGAAAGCGUAUGGGUUUGUUUACCCUUCCUGCAGGCAUCCAACCUGGCCUUUUAUUCCUGCUCAAGUAGGACAUGCAGCCUGCUGGGGACCCGUGGCUCAAAUCCUCCAACUGCAGGACUGCCGGCCCUGGGACUCAUGAAUAAUGGAAGUGCAGUAACCACUCCUUACAGCCCAGACGACUUUCCAGGAGCAGGCUGUACCCCGAAAGUAAACAAGGAACAAGGGGCAAGGAGACAGAGAGAGAUGGGGAAAUAUCCUCACCAACAGCCCUGCUGCAGUGAAAACUGGAGGAUCCCUGAAUGGAAAGGAAUGCUAUGCACACUUUUUGGAUACAGGAAGUGAGAUUCAGAGGGGUUAAACAGCUUUCCUAAAGCCACACAGCGAGAGAGUCGAUCUGAACUGAAGAUUGUUUGACAUCAAAGCUCAUUUCUUUCCCUAAAUGUCAGCAUUCUUUCCUGACUUAUUAAUUUGAUUUCUGUCCUCCCCUCAUGGAAGUUAAUUAAAGGAAUGCGAGAACCUUUUAGAAAAUCUC